This 497-nucleotide ribosomal RNA is filed under the name uncultured bacterium. RNAcentral's name for it is "partial 16S ribosomal RNA". It matches the Rfam family "Bacterial small subunit ribosomal RNA", at positions 28 to 507 of the family's 1533-position model. The record is from RNAcentral.
GAUGAACGCUGGCGGCGUGCCUAAUACAUGCAAGUCGAGCGAACGGACGAGAAGCUUGCUUCUCUGAUGUUAGCGGCGGACGGGUGAGUAACACGUGGAUAACCUACCUAUAAGACUGGGAUAACUUCGGGAAACCGGAGCUAAUACCGGAUAAUAUUUUGAACCGCAUGGUUCAAAAGUGAAAGACGGUCUUGCUGUCACUUAUAGAUGGAUCCGCGCUGCAUUAGCUAGUUGGUAAGGUAACAGCUUACCAAGGCAACGAUGCAUAGCCGACCUGAGAGGGUGAUCGGCCACACUAGAACUGAGACACGGUCCAGACUCCUACGGGAGGCAGCAGUAGGGAAUCUUCCGCAAUGGGCGAAAGCCUGACGGAGCAACGCCGCGUGAGUGAUGAAGGUCUUCGGAUCGUAAAACUCUGUUAUUAGGGAAGAACAUAUGUGUAAGUAACUGUGCACAUCUUGACGGUACCUAAUCAGAAAGCCACGGCUAACUACGUG